RNAcentral lists this ribosomal RNA (372 nucleotides) under Escherichia coli. RNAcentral describes it as "partial 23S ribosomal RNA". It matches the Rfam family "Bacterial large subunit ribosomal RNA", at positions 2577 to 2925 of the family's 2925-position model. The record is from RNAcentral. RNAcentral also lists the same sequence under 1 other name. Lineage: Bacteria; Pseudomonadati; Pseudomonadota; Gammaproteobacteria; Enterobacterales; Enterobacteriaceae.
CUGUUCGCCAUUUAAAGUGGUACGCGAGCUGGGUUUAGAACGUCGUGAGACAGUUCGGUCCCUAUCUGCCGUGGGCGUUGGAAGAUUGAAGGGGGCUGCUCCUAGUACGAGAGGACCGGAGUGGACGAACCUCUGGUGUUCGGGUUGUGUCGCCAGACGCAUUGCCCGGUAGCUAAGUUCGGAAUCGAUAACCGCUGAAAGCAUCUAAGCGGGAAGCGAGCCCUGAGAUGAGUCUUCCCUGAUACUUUAAGUAUCCUAAAGGGUUGUCGGAGACUACGACGUUGAUAGGUCAGGUGUGUAAGUGCUGUGAGGCAUUGAGCUAACUGAUACUAAUUGCCCGUGAGGCUUAACCAUACAACACCCAAGGGGUUU